RNAcentral lists this small RNA (89 nucleotides) under Sinorhizobium meliloti 2011. Its description in RNAcentral is "putative ncRNA". Lineage: Bacteria; Pseudomonadati; Pseudomonadota; Alphaproteobacteria; Hyphomicrobiales; Rhizobiaceae. The record is from RNAcentral.
GCGGAUAGACCGAAAACAUGCAUGGAAGCGAGACGGCGGUCGCGGUGCCGCAACUCGUCGUGUUGCGGUAGUUGACGACCCCGAGAGCU